Molecule: ribosomal RNA, 309 nt
Filed under: Triticum aestivum (bread wheat)
Lineage: Eukaryota; Viridiplantae; Streptophyta; Magnoliopsida; Poales; Poaceae
Description: partial small subunit ribosomal RNA
Source: RNAcentral
AUGCACGUGAUGUGGCACAAGACCGUCAAUACCUUGCCGGUGAUGAUCAACGGCCGGCAGACGGGCAGCAAAAAGGUUCUGGUGCUGCAUACCAACAAGAACUUCGACCAGCAGAGGACCAACUGGGUGAUGCACCAGUACCACCUCUGGGACCUGGAGCAAGAGAAGGAGCGGGAGCUGGUCCUCUCCAAGAUUUUCUACCAGACGAACACUAGGGCCAGGAGUAAAAAGAUUAUAAGGCCGAGCAAGUUUCAACUGGGCUGUAGACUGCCCAGGCUUGGUUUUGUUUUUAACAGGCCUAGCCCAUGA